This 2173-nucleotide long non-coding RNA is filed under the name Lytechinus variegatus (green sea urchin). RNAcentral describes it as "uncharacterized LOC121406552". The record is from RNAcentral. Lineage: Eukaryota; Metazoa; Echinodermata; Echinoidea; Temnopleuroida; Toxopneustidae.
AGAAGGUCAUUCAUUUUUUUUUUCAAACCGUUGUUCUUGACAGACACAGCAGAAAUCGAAGAAAGUUGGAACAAUUAGUACGGAGUAACAACUUGGAGCUUUCAGACAUCUUAAAAGCACUUCAAAGAGAUAAUGGAUUACCGUGGACCAGAGGCCAAAUACCGUAAUACCGGCUUAUUCCCUCAUAGAUUUUUGUUAUGUACCUUCGAUACGUCCCCCUCCCGUCCAUUAUAAGCUCUCCGAAGACGCCCCGAUAUUGUAAGAAACCCGUAUUGUUUAUGAAACCAGACUUUUCGUGGUGUAUAUUGAAAUAAUUGUACGUAGUAAAAUACAAAUUAUCAUUAUUUAUUACAUUCAGGACCAGGCACGGCGUAACUGAAUGCGUUGGGAAUUUAAUAUGAGAGAUAUUAAACUUUUAACUCGAUAACACUCCACGGGAAAGCUGGUUUUUAACAUGCCUGAACAUCAAGUGAAUAAAAAUCAUUUUCGUAAUGCUUAUGUUAAUUAGUUUGCUUACGUCAUUGCCUAGGGAAGUCUUAUUUUCGCAGAAAAGAAAUAAAAGAUUGUUUUAACGGCAAUACUAUCUAUCAAUCAGGUGCUUGUGUAAUUCAAAUCUACAGAAAUUGUAUGAUAUCACAACUUUCAUAGGUUUAUGGAAAAGAAUGUUGUGUUGUAUAAAACAGGCUGGGUUUGUCAUCAGGAAAACCCCGAUAUAAUCUUUUAAUGAUUGUUUGCGGGUUCCUGAAGUUUGAAUAGCGAUAGUUUAUUUAUUGGGUUAAAUGGAAUGGCCUUGUUGUUGAACUAUAGCUAGACAUAUAUUAGAGUGGGAUAACGUUUGAAACGUUUUCUGUAUUGGAAAUUGAGAUGGAAAAAGUACGGAAUGUUGAUACAUGUUGUUACGUAACAUGAAUAUUUUUUUUGGUUUGCUUGCACGUUUCUUUUAAAAAAGAAGUUGAUGUAUGUAAAUAUUAUGCUUUCAGACCAUCGUUUUGCUUUGAGGUUCGAUGUAAUGUAAGUUUAUGCUUAUAGUCUCGUUCGAUAGUGCAUGUAUCGCAUCCUGAUAUAUGCACUAUAGAAUAGAAAAUGUUAAUUUCUUGUCAUAAAAGCCUACGGAAGGUGAAGAUACGAAAUGUGUUAAUAGAGAUAGAAUAUAUCAUAAAAUUCAUUUCAAUUUAAUCAGAUGCUUUAUUUUGGGUACAUAAUGUAUAUGUGUAAGUCAGGAAAAAGUAUUUCAAGGACAUUUUAUCGAAUUGUUUGUGAGAUAACGUGUACAUAUCAUUGACAUUCAUGUCUUAGAAUUUGAUGAAAAAAUAGGACAUCAUUCCUCUCUGUCAUGUGUAUGUAUAAACAAAUAAUUGCUAAUUAUUGCAGUAUUUCUAGAUGCAUGAGAAAAACCUAUAACGUUAAUGUUGAGAACUACAUAUAGAAAUGAAAUGGUCCUGUUGCAUUAAAAGAAAAUAGGUGAUAUUCUGAUAUUUCCUUCCCUUUUUUAUGUUAAUUCAUUAUAGGGUGAUCAUUUACCAAAUUGAAAUUCAAAGAAAUCGUUUCACGACAAGAAUCACCUUCAAUACAUAUUUAUGUCAACUGUUUACGUAUAUGGAGUCGAUUUAAAAAUUAGAAAUAACAAUCUGUGCUCAAUUUUGUUUAUCGUAAUCUGGGUAUAUACGAAAUAAUUACGACAUGAGCAGUUGUUAUUGAUAUAGAUUAGACCCAAUUUCCAAUUUUGUUUCAACGAAGACGGCCUACAUUAUCUUUUCGAAUAGCUGAUGACGUAGGAGCCUUCUGCUUUUUCUCUUGUUCAAUAAUAUAUUUAUUACAUGAUGCAAAGCAUUGUCAUAACAGUACUUGGAAGAAACCCACGUGGACUUUACAGAUGUUCUUUUCUCUUGAUAGGGCAACGAGACACGUACAUGUAUAACGUUGUGUUUCCCAGGCCAUCUAACUAUCAUGAUUGAUUUGGCUCUGAUUAGGAUACGUUUGCAUUAGGAAAUUGGCCCCAUUUUUUGUUCAUUAACUGUGGCCUCUGUGUGUUUUGACCAGUCUUGACGUAUACUGAGUCUAUUUAUGGUUCUAUGGAGUGAAUAUCACAGCGCUUUCGUCUUGUUGAUAUUUGAAACGAUGUCUUGUAAAAUAGGUUUCUUCUGCAUUUUGAAAAAUAAAUCACAAUAUUCAA